RNAcentral lists this ribosomal RNA (253 nucleotides) under uncultured bacterium. Its description in RNAcentral is "partial 16S ribosomal RNA". It matches the Rfam family "Bacterial small subunit ribosomal RNA", at positions 524 to 776 of the family's 1533-position model. The record is from RNAcentral.
UACGUAGGGUGCAAGCGUUGUCCGGAAUUAUUGGGCGUAAAGCGCACGUAGGUGGCGACGUAAGUCGGGUGUGAAAGCCCCGGGCUCAACCUGGGAAUUGCAUUCGAGACUGCAUUGCUGGAGUACGGAAGAGGAGGGCGGAAUUCCCGGUGUAGCGGUGAAAUGCGUAGAUAUCGGGAGGAACAUCAGUGGCGAAGGCGGCCCUCUGGUCCAGUACUGACACUCAAGUGCGAAAGCGUGGGGAGCAAACAGG